AGAGUUUGAUCAUGGCUCAGGAUGAACGCUAGCGGCAGGCUUAAUACAUGCAAGUCGUGGGGCAGCAUGACUGUAGCAAUACAGUUGAUGGCGACCGGCAAACGGGUGCGGAACACGUACACAACCUUCCUUUUAGUGGAGAAUAGCCCAGGGAAACUUGGAUUAAUACUCCGUAACAUAUAGAAGUGGCAUCACUUUUAUAUUAUAGCAGCAAUGCGCUAGAAGAUGGGUGUGCGGCUGAUUAGAUAGUUGGCGGGGUAACGGCCCACCAAGUCGACGAUCAGUAACCGGUGUGAGAGCACGACCAGUCACACGGGCACUGAGACACGGGCCCGACUCCUACGGGAGGCAGCAGUAAGGAAUAUUGGUCAAUGGACGCAAGUCUGAACCAGCCAUGCCGCGUGGAGGAUGAAGGUCCUCUGGAUUGUAAACUUCUUUUAUUUGGGAAGAAACCCAUCUUUUCUAAGAUGGUUGACGGUACCAGAUGAAUAAGCACCGGCUAACUCCGUGCCAGCAGCCGCGGUAAUACGGAGGGUGCAAGCGUUAUCCGGAUUCACUGGGUUUAAAGGGUGCGUAGGUGGGCAAGUAAGUCAGUGGUGAAAUCUCCGGGCUUAACCCGGAAACUGCCAUUGAUACUAUUUGUCUUGAAUACUGUGGAGGUCAGCGGAAUAUGUCAUGUAGCGGUGAAAUGCUUAGAUAUGACAUAGAACACCAAUUGCGAAGGCAGCUGGCUACACAAAUAUUGACACUGAGGCACGAAAGCGUGGGGAUCAAACAGGAUUAGAUACCCUAGUAGUCC
This 799-nucleotide ribosomal RNA is filed under the name uncultured bacterium. RNAcentral's name for it is "bacterial SSU rRNA". It matches the Rfam family "Bacterial small subunit ribosomal RNA", at positions 8 to 796 of the family's 1533-position model. The record is from RNAcentral.